UGGGGAAUAUUGCGCAAUGGGGGAAACCCUGACGCAGCGACGCCGCGUGCGGGAUGAAUGUCUUUGGGUUGUAAACCGCUUUUGAUUGGGAGCAAGCUUUCUGGUGAGUGUACCUUUCGAAUAAGCGCCGGCUAACUACGUGCCAGCAGCCGCGGUAAUACGUAGGGCGCAAGCGUUAUCCGGAAUUAUUGGGCGUAAAGAGCUUGUAGGCGGUUCGUCGCGUCUGGUGUGAAAGCCCAUCGCUUAACGGUGGGUUUGCGCCGGGUACGGGCGGGCUAGAGUGCAGUAGGGGAGACUGGAAUUCCCGGUGUAACGGUGGAAUGUGUAGAUAUCGGGAGGAACACCAAUGGCGAAGGCAGGUCUCUGGGCUGUUACUGACGCUGAGAAGCGAAAGCGUGGGGAGCGAACAGG
Molecule: ribosomal RNA, 411 nt
Filed under: Verrucomicrobiota bacterium
Lineage: Bacteria; Pseudomonadati; Verrucomicrobiota
Description: Verrucomicrobia bacterium partial 16S ribosomal RNA
Rfam family: Bacterial small subunit ribosomal RNA
Source: RNAcentral